GUGACGCUUAAUAACGUGCAUUUUGUUUAGCGCUCAGAAACAAAAUGCUACGCUGUUGUUCGAGUGACAGCAGAGUUGGCGGCUUGUUGACUGCACUGACUGUUAUGUUUUUGUCCCAUGUUUCAGAAAUAAACCAGUUGUGAGUGCUCCAUCCAA
Long non-coding RNA from Solea senegalensis (Senegalese sole), 156 nucleotides. RefSeq lists it as uncharacterized. The transcript is spliced from 3 exons. Lineage: Eukaryota; Metazoa; Chordata; Actinopteri; Pleuronectiformes; Soleidae. The record is from RefSeq and is a predicted model, not a curated record.